This is a non-coding RNA of Microcebus murinus (gray mouse lemur), 2124 nucleotides long. The record is from RefSeq and is a predicted model, not a curated record. Lineage: Eukaryota; Metazoa; Chordata; Mammalia; Primates; Cheirogaleidae.
UUUUUUAGGCAAUUACUGCGAGCCACUCUAGUAAUAAAUUGAACCCUGAUUUACAGCCGGUGGGUCAGAAGCACAAACCUGGGGAUUGUGAUGGGCCUCUGAAGUGGAGGCCGGUCUUGUGGGACUGAGCCCUGAACCUGCGUGAUCAACACUACCGCCAGGUAGACAGUGUCUGCUUUGAAGUGAAUCGCAGGACUCCUGGCUGUGUCUGCAGCAGAACUGCUUGCUUGCUGGUGGGGACAAAUCCCCACUAACCCUCCUUUAGCAGAUGAGUGCGAGCCCACGACCCUGGACCUCCAGAUUCCCAGGCCAGCACCAUGUCCCGAUGGCGUCACCAACGCUCUCUCGCGGGGGACACUGAGGCCCAGAGCGGCAGAGACUGGCCAAGGCCACGGACACUUUAUUGUACUCACCCUUCCUGUGAUGUCGUGAGACGGUAAAAUGCCCACGUGGUGAGACGGGGUGAGGCGAAUGGCGCGGGCACUGUGACGUGGUGUUGGGCCGGAGUGACCCAGAGCACGAGCACGGGACGGUUGAUCUGGUAACCACGAAGGCCACCACGGUGUGACUCUGGGGCAGCAGCGCAGACGUCUCGGAUACGCCGGACAAAGGGAUGAUUCUCUUUCCGGGCAGGACGGGAGUGGGAAGCCACAGCAUUCCAUCACGCUGCUCAGAACAGCGUGCAAUUUAGAACUCGUGAGUUGUCUAUUGCUGGAAUUUUCCAUUUAAUAUUGUCGGACCUGGUUGACCUCAGGUAACUGAAGCCGAGGAUAAGGAGGGAUGGCUGUGUCACCUCUCACAAUUCUUGGAUUGACUGGGCUCAGCUGGCCACUCUGGCUCCCGUGGUGUAGACUGAGGCUGUGGUCACCUAAGGGUUUGACUGUGUUAAUGGCGGCCCCUCCAAAGGCUGGCAGCUGGUGCUGGCCGUCACCCGGGAGCUCGAGGGGGCCUGCCCACCAAUGUGUCUCCUCCAUGUGGCCUUUCCACCCUGAUUGGGCUUCUCACGGUGUCUCAGCCGGGUUGCAGGAGGGAGUAUUUCAAAUGCUCUAAAACAAAAGCUGCAGCUAUCUUAAGACCCAGUCUCGGAAGUUAGGCAGUGCCACUGCCACCACAGUCUACAGGUCCAAGUAAGUGAGUCACAGUCCAGCCCCAAAUCAAGGAAUGGGGGAAUAUACUCCAUCUCUUGGUGGGAGGAGCUGCAAAGAUUUGGGCAAUCUUUACCGUAGUGUGGAUCCUGAGAAAUCGGCACAUGUGGGAUUAGUGUCAGAGAGAUGGGUUUGGAAUGGGGUUCCAGAAGGAUAGGGUCGUUUUGCAUUUUAUAAAGAAGGUCUGAGCAGGGCAACCAACCGCAAGGUUUCUGGUUGCAUAAACCACUUCAAACUUUUCCUUCUCCUUGUAGGCUAGGUAGUAGAGAGAACUCUAAUGACAGCAUAUUUUAUUGAGUGCUAAUAUGUGGACUUAAUCAAUUCUCCCAGUGGCCCUCAAUGCCUAUUUUACAGGUGAGGCAACUGAGGCUCAGCACUCCCCCUGAGUUUGUAUGAAUGUCUGAGUUGCUUGUCUGCACAUAUGUUUGCUCUCUUCUAUCUGAGGAGCAGGAAAAUGUCAUAAUAACUCCUUAGAGGAGGGAACCUAUGAUGGAUGAGAAUUUUCAUUCCACCCCCAGGAAAGGGGACCAGGACUUGGGGACACCAGCCUUGCCCCUGGCAGCUGUGCCUGGAAUCUGGGGCCCUGGCACUGUGAGGGCCACUCCUCUCAGGACCAGAGCACGGGGAGCAAAGAAGAGUCGCUUAUCUGCAGAAACCAUGGGCUGGUGGUGACCACCAUUCCCAACACCCCGAUCAUGCACUUGUGAUAUUAAUAAAAAUAAUUUAUGUCAUGUGACUGCUUUUUAACUAGCUGCUUUCAAGACUUAAGACCGGGAUUAUAAAAGGCAUGCAUUUAUAAAUUAUUAGCCCAGAGCUCAUAAGCACAUAUACUUUGGGGAACACUUUGGUAGCACUUUAAAUUAAUUUAUUGUCAUUCAUUCCAGCUGUCUGUGAUGUAAACCUUCAGCUAUAAAUUUGUACCAUCAUCUGACACGCCAUUAACUAAGGUGCUGCCCGAGCCAGAGCACAUAAUAAAACA